AUGCCAUUCGAAACCAUGAGCUCCUAAUGCUGUGACCAAAGAUUGAAGUUCUCCAUAGGAUGCCACUGUCACUCAAUAGUGCUAUGUUUUCCUGAGGAGAUAUCAGA
RNAcentral lists this small nucleolar RNA (107 nucleotides) under Propithecus coquereli (Coquerel's sifaka). Its description in RNAcentral is "Small nucleolar RNA SNORA25 (ENSPCOG00000011588.1)". The record is from RNAcentral. Lineage: Eukaryota; Metazoa; Chordata; Mammalia; Primates; Indriidae.